This 490-nucleotide ribosomal RNA is filed under the name uncultured bacterium. RNAcentral's name for it is "partial 16S ribosomal RNA". It matches the Rfam family "Bacterial small subunit ribosomal RNA", at positions 30 to 507 of the family's 1533-position model. The record is from RNAcentral.
AUUGAACGCUGGCGGCAGGCCUAACACAUGCAAGUCGAACGGUAACAGGAAGCAGCUUGCUGCUUCGCUGACGAGUGGCGGACGGGUGAGUAAUGUCCGGGAAGCUGCCUGAUGGAGGGGGAUAACUACUGGAAACGGUAGCUAAUACAGCAUAAUGUCGCAAGACCAAAGGGGGGGACCUUCGGGCCUCUUGCCAUCGGAUGUGCCCAGAUGGGAUUAGCUUGUUGGUGGGGUAACGGCUCACCAAGGCGACGAUCCCUAGCUGGUCUGAGAGGAUGACCAGCCACACUGGAACUGAGACACGGUCCAGACUCCUACGGGAGGCAGCAGUGGGGAAUAUUGCACAAUGGGCGCAAGCCUGAUGCAGCCAUGCCGCGUGUAUGAAGAAGGCCUUCGGGUUGUAAAGUACUUUCGUCGGGGAGGAAGAGAGUAAAGUUAAUACCUUGGCUCAUUGACGUUACCCGCAGAAGAAGCACCGGCUAACUCCGUG